UGGGGAAUAUUGGACAAUGGGCGAAAGCCUGAUCCAGCCAUGCCGCGUGUGUGAAGAAGGUCUUCGGAUUGUAAAGCACUUUAAGUUGGGAGGAAGGGCAUUAACCUAAUACGUUAGUGUUUUGACGUUACCGACAGAAUAAGCACCGGCUAACUCUGUGCCAGCAGCCGCGGUAAUACAGAGGGUGCAAGCGUUAAUCGGAAUUACUGGGCGUAAAGCGCGCGUAGGUGGUUUGUUGAGUUGGAUGUGAAAUCCCCGGGCUCAACCUGGGAACUGCAUUCAAAACUGACUGACUAGAGUAUGGUAGAGGGUGGUGGAAUUUCCUGUGUAGCGGUGAAAUGCGUAGAUAUAGGAAGGAACACCAGUGGCGAAGGCGACCACCUGGACUAAUACUGACACUGAGGUGCGAAAGCGUGGGGAGCAAACA
Molecule: ribosomal RNA, 427 nt
Filed under: uncultured bacterium
Lineage: Bacteria
Description: partial 16S ribosomal RNA
Rfam family: Bacterial small subunit ribosomal RNA
Source: RNAcentral